AAACCAACCGGGAUUGCCUUAGUAACGGCGAGUGAAGCGGCAAAAAGCUCAAAUUUGAAAUCUGGUACCUUCGGUGCCCGAGUUGUAAUUUGGAGAGGGCAACUUUGGGGCCGUUCCUUGUCUAUGUUCCUUGGAACAGGACGUCAUAGAGGGUGAGAAUCCCGUGUGGCGAGGAGUGCGGUUCUUUGUAAAGUGCCUUCGAAGAGUCGAGUUGUUUGGGAAUGCAGCUCUAAGUGGGUGGUAAAUUCCAUCUAAAGCUAAAUAUUGGCGAGAGACCGAUAGCGAACAAGUACAGUGAUGGAAGGAUGAAAAGAACUUUGAAAAGAGAGUGAAAAAGUACGUGAAAUUGUUGAAAGGGAAGGGCAUUUGAUCAGACAUGGUGUUUUGUGCCCUCUGCUCCUUGUGGGUAGGGGAAUCUCGCAUUUCACUGGGCCAGCAUCAGUUUGGUGGCAGGAUAAAUCCAUAGGAAUGUAGCUUGCCUCGGUAAGUAUUAUAGCCUGUGGGAAUACUGCC
This 513-nucleotide ribosomal RNA is filed under the name uncultured Saccharomyces. RNAcentral's name for it is "eukaryotic LSU rRNA". It matches the Rfam family "Eukaryotic large subunit ribosomal RNA", at positions 62 to 578 of the family's 3401-position model. The record is from RNAcentral. Lineage: Eukaryota; Fungi; Ascomycota; Saccharomycetes; Saccharomycetales; Saccharomycetaceae.